RNAcentral lists this long non-coding RNA (983 nucleotides) under Trifolium pratense (red clover). RNAcentral's name for it is "long non-coding RNA (TPRA_LNC006181)". The record is from RNAcentral. Lineage: Eukaryota; Viridiplantae; Streptophyta; Magnoliopsida; Fabales; Fabaceae.
GUACGGCGGCGCCGCUAGCCGGGAACACUUUUCUUCUUAUUAUUAUUUUUUUUAUUUUUUCUGUUAAACACUAAAUCCAACCUCAAAACACCCAAAAUCAAACCCAAGAAAUUGUUUUCGAACCCAAAUCCGAACCAAGACAAAAAGCAAUUAUUCAAAAUAUUUGAUCUAAGUUCUGUGAUUGUUUUUUUAUUAUUUUGGUAAACACACAAAAAUCAAAACAAACCCAAAAGGAAGACUUUUAAACAAAAUAGGGAAAAAAGAUAAGUUAAAAUCGAACUAACCCUUGAAGACCAAAAGAUUCAGACUCCUCUUCCUCUUCCCUGCUUUCUUUCUUUGAUAUAUUUUUUUACUCUUGUGAAAAUUUUCUGUGUUUUCUCUCAAUUGAAAUUUUCUGUUCCCCUCCACCUUUUCUGCGUGAGUGAACAAAGUUUUAUGGAAAAUUACAAAAGCCAAAUGUUUGGUCUGCUGCUGUUUGAACUUGUUGAUUAAAGUGAGAUUUUUUGCAGGAAAGGGAUGUACUGUUGCUUGUUGUAGUUAAAGUUGCAGCAAAAGGUGAAGAGAANNNNNNNNNNNNNNNNNNNNNNNNNNNNNNNNNNNNNNNNUUUCUUUUUUUGUAUUGUUUAAAAUUAAAGAAAAAAUAACAAAUAAUAAAAUAAAAUAAAAGGGAGGGGAGCGUGCUGUUGCUGUUCUUCUUUUUCCUUUUGAUUUUUGUUUUUUUUUCAUUAUAAUAAUACCAAUAAUAAUAAAAAGGAAAAAGGAAUUUUUUAAAAAAAGAAAGGGGAAGGGAAAGCAGCGUGCUGCUCCUUUUCUUUUAUAUGUUUUUUAUUUUUAAUAAAAAUAACAAAUAAUAAUAAUAAUAAUAAUAAUAAAUAUAAUAAUUAUAAUGGUAAUAAUAGAACUAAAGAUAUAAAAAUAAAAAAAAUAAAAGACUAACACUAAGAAAAAGGACGAAAGGACACUUGAACCAAAACGAAAAUGAG